Molecule: ribosomal RNA, 285 nt
Filed under: uncultured bacterium
Lineage: Bacteria
Description: partial 16S ribosomal RNA
Rfam family: Bacterial small subunit ribosomal RNA
Source: RNAcentral
ACUCCUACGGGAGGCAGCAGUGGGAAUAUUGCACAAUGGGCGCAAGCCUGAUGCGCAGCCAUGCCGCGUGAUGUAGCAAGAAUGGGCCUUCGGGUUGAUGAAGCACUUUCAGUUGUGAGGAAAGGUUAGUCGCUAAUAUCGGCUAGCUGUGACGUUAGCAACAGAAGAAGCACCGGCUAACUCCGUGCCAGCAGCCGCGGUAAUACGGAGGGUGCGAGCGUUAAUCGGAAUUACUGGGCGUAAAGCGCGUGUAGGUGGCUUGUUAAGCCAGAUGUGAAAGCCCGC